CUUGCUUCCUCGAUCGAGUGGCGGACGGGUGAGUAACGCGUGAGGAACCUGCCUUUCAGAGGGGACAACAGCUGGAAACGGCUGCUAAUACCGCAUAAGACCACGCUAUCGCAUGAUAGAGAGGUCAAAGAUUUAUCGCUGAUAGAUGGGCUCGCGUCCCAUUAGGUAGUUGGUGAGGUAAUGGCCCACCAAGCCGACGAUCGGUAGCCGACCUGAGAGGGUGAUCGGCCACAUUGGGACUGAGACACGGCCCAAACUCC
RNAcentral lists this ribosomal RNA (260 nucleotides) under uncultured Eubacteriales bacterium. RNAcentral describes it as "uncultured Clostridiales bacterium partial 16S ribosomal RNA". It matches the Rfam family "Bacterial small subunit ribosomal RNA", at positions 79 to 339 of the family's 1533-position model. The record is from RNAcentral. Lineage: Bacteria; Bacillati; Bacillota; Clostridia; Eubacteriales.